This 46-nucleotide non-coding RNA is filed under the name Schistosoma haematobium. Lineage: Eukaryota; Metazoa; Platyhelminthes; Trematoda; Strigeidida; Schistosomatidae. The record is from RNAcentral.
GCACUGGUGAGGAGUCCCACACUAGGACGAAACGGCCGUCCAGUUC